UAGACUUUUUGCAGCUUUGCCGUGCAACGGUGACGGAAAAUCCGCCUGACCUCGUUAGUAGAGCGAGAAGUUCUAUCACCAACUUUUCUCGCCAAAUAUCAGGAAGAUCAAGCAAGAAAAGAGAUCUUUCUGGCCAGGAGUUGGGGUACUGUCAUAAACUGAACUGCCAUUUUUUUUUAGAAAUUUUUUUUGGUGGAGUGAGUAUUAAAAUUAAGAGCAGAUGAAUUUAUAGAAAACAAUGGGUGGAUACAAACUAAUUUAUGCAGUUCCAUCUAUAUUUGAAUAUUAAAUUGUUCCCCGAAUCUUCCAUGACCUCUCUACAACCCUAUAUUGUAAGUUCUAACGCUUCCAUCUAGCUUUACACCAUUUUUCAAAGAGGUGGUCAAUGAUGUUUGAUUAUUUUUGUGCCCAAAAUGUGGUCAGUCUAUCUAUGACUAUGACAAUGUCUUGCUUUCAUGUUCUUUCUACUUUGGUUUUCCAUUCAAGAAUCAGAAUUCUCUCGCAGAACAACAUGAUUGUAAAUACAUAACAAGGGAAAGUCGAUGAUUUUCAACGCACUGCCAAAUGAAGCAUCAGAGAUAUUUAAGCAAAUGGAUCGUGUUGAACAUCUGAUUGGAGUCCGGCAUAUAGCUUAGAUAUAUCGAUUCUACAUGUGAGUGUUGAUAUACCUAGCACUAUCCAAUGCAUCCUUCUUAUUUUGCAGAGUAAGUUCAGACACUAGAAGGUCCUUGCGAGCUCAUCGAGAGAGCACCACAUAUUCUCGGACACCAAAUAGGGUUUGUGCAGGGAAGAUGCUUUGAACUAUCAGGACAGUACCUUGGUCCACCAAACAUUCCGUCAAGUUGAAAGAGGAAAUGAGAUGAAUUUGGUAAGCUUUUCUUAUUUAUUCAUUUUCUAUUUGCAGUUUUGAGUCUUCAGUGGUAGUUGCAUGUGAUUUUAGCCGCUCAACCAAAGCGUAUCCUCAUAAGGUGCGACCUUCUACUGAGAGAGAGAGAGAGAGAGAGAGAGAGAUAACUUUUUCAUCUACCAUUCAAGAUAAAGAUGUCUGCGCGUGCAUGUCUGCUUGCAGUUCCAUCGGAAGGACCUAUUCACGCUUAGGUCAUGGUUCGCACUUUAGAAUAGUUUAUAUAUUUAUUACCAACUUAAUAGGUUAAUUAAAUCGAGGAAUAUUAAAAAUUCGCGUCAUUGACACGUUGAGGAAAAUGAAGAUUGCAGCUGCGGAAAAAUGAUUUCCUUGGUGUAAGCUUCCGACAUGAGUUUGAUUUUGAGGAGUACAUUGUCAAAAGUAAGAGCUAAAUGCCUUUUUGACGAAUCCUUGUUUUUGCAUUUAACAAAAGUAUGUGGUCCCUGAACUUGUUGUGUUUUUUCAGUUUAGUCCUCAGAGUGCUUUUUUGACUUGGGUUGCCCGAACUUCCUAAAAUUUCUACACUAGCUCAGAAAAAUGAUAGCACAGACAAAAGAGAGAUUAUUUGUGGAUUGGCUUUCAAUUAGUAUAUUGAUUAUGACAGAGAAGUUCGUAAGUUAAACAAUGGCUAGCCAAAUAGAGGGGGAGAGAUUUUUUGAGCGAAAAAUUGCCUGAAAAGUUAAAAACCUAUUGCAUUUUUAUCAAUUUAGUCAUAAUCCUUUUGAUUGUGUUAAUUGAAUUCAUUUGGCCAAUUUGGCCAAAAAUCAAUGACAUGAGUGCCGAUCGUCCUAUAUGGCACAACCAUUAUUGACAUGGACAAUUUUUAGUAAUAUUUUAAAUUUUUUGAAUUUUUUAUAUUUUGUUUUUUUUUUCUUUCUUUUUCCUUCUUUUUUCACCGGUCAUUGAGCCUCGGCAACUAGCCAGAGGCAACCACCGGCGAGGGUUGCCCUUGCCAAAGGCCAACGAGGACCGAGCUGCUAGAGUAAGAGGUGCAAGCGGGAUUACUCAUCUUGCAAGCCAUUUGAUUCCAAAUCAGCUUUCAAGGAGAGAAGCUUGAGCAACGGUUCCUCAUCUGAUUUGGGGGAAGAGAUGUGGCGACUGAGGCUUGUUCAGCGUAAGUUGACCUACCUGGAGUCACUUGGUCCUCGCUCGGCCUUGGAGUCGGUCCUCACUCUGCCCUCGCUGGCCUCAGGUGACCCUCACUGGUAGUUGCUUUUGGCCGGUUGCUGGCCAUCACCGAGGCCCGACAAUCGGCGGAAGAAGAAGGAAAAAAAAAAGAAAGAGAAAAAAGUAAAAUAAAUAGAAAAUUAAAAAAAAAAAAUAUAUAUAUAUAUAUAUAUAUAUAUAUAUUAUCUAAAAUUGUUCACAUCAUCGUGUUUGUCCUAAGUGGAACAACUAACAAUGUCCAUAUCAACGAUUUCAAAUUAAAAUUGGUUGAAUGGACUCAAUUAAUAAAACGUGAAAAUGUUAAGAGUUUAAUUGACAUAACUAAAAGGUUUAGGUAUGAAUUAAUAAAAAUGUGAUGGGUUUAUGAUUUUUCAAAUAAUUUUUCUGUUUUUGAGUGGUUUUUAAACAACUGUACAUUGUUGAUUACAUUCACCGUUAAAAAGUUAUUAUGCGAAGAGCAAUAUUUUCCUCCAACUUUGGUUGAAGAAAAAUCUCUCCAACCUUAUCUUUGAUGGGGGUUACAAGUUGUAGACACGACUUAUAUGAAAAUUUAACUAAAAUUAAAUAAAGGUAAUGUCCAUGCCUAGAAGCCACCAAUCAAAAUAUGUGGCGGGAUAGUUGGAGGAAAAACACGACUUUUCCAUAAUUAAAAAUUAUUCUUUUCCUUUCGUGUUCGACACACCCUUUUAGGUGGUACAAAGGGAAAACCAUGAUUUGCUCUAGUAGACAUUCUGGCCCACAUUACAUAUGAGAGAACCAUUUAUUUGUAACCGCGGUUGGGAAGAUAGCGUUCUGUUGUUCAGUUCUGAUAUCUUUCUUAAGCUCCUUGGGAGUUUUUUCUUGAAAAGAAGCUCAACCAAGAUUCCGGUAUUACUCUCUCCUCCUUUCUGGAUAGGCAGUUGUGAGAACUCAAGCUUAAUAAUUCGUGCUAACACUGGAUGCAGAUUGUUAAUGGAAGGCUCAUCCUGGCAUAUUUGCAGAAGCUAGAGGACCUAGAGAGGCUGCUGACUCGUGAGAAAAUGAGCAGCGCUACUUUCGCUUGAUUUGGCGCUCUUCCGAAGGCACCAAAAGCAAAACUGAAGCAUUGGUCUAGUUUGCAUGUAUCUCCAGUGAUAGUGAAGUUUGCUCAAGUUUUAACAUAACAAGAGCACGAUUUUUAGGAGGCGAUGCCGAUACAAAUGCAUUUUCGGUGCAGUAAUUUGUUUCGGUGGUUGGGUUUUUAGAGUUCAAGAAAUAAUUU
This 3311-nucleotide long non-coding RNA is filed under the name Eucalyptus grandis. RNAcentral's name for it is "long non-coding RNA (EGRA_LNC000500)". Lineage: Eukaryota; Viridiplantae; Streptophyta; Magnoliopsida; Myrtales; Myrtaceae. The record is from RNAcentral.